CAGAAACACAAAGCAAAUAAAGCGCGGCGGCCGGAUGCGCACGCUUAUUACUCAAGGCUUGAUUUGCAGUUGAUACGGGAACACCGAGGAUCCAGAUCGAGUUCCUAGGUGCAGAUAUCAGUCCAAAUCAAGACCUGACGCACACGAAUCGAAAGAGAAGAAUCAAGCAGUGGCGAUAAGAUGCUUCGGGCGAACAUGGUUUCAGUUGUGGCCGUGCUUCUUGGCGUCCUUCUUCUCGUGGCGCUCGUGGAAGGCGUAGCCAGCGGAGCCCACGGCGGCGACGGCGGCCACCUCCUCCUUGAUCCGGUGGCCGUGCUCGUUCUCGGGGUCCUUCUUGGCCUUGUGCUUCUCAUGCUGCAGUCACACGCAGGAACAGAUGCAUAUGCAAAUCAAGAGCUGAAUCAUGCGUGGAUAUACAUGCAGUUCAAAGAAAUUAAUUGGAUUACUGCUGACCAGAGCGUAUGCGCCGGCGGCAAUGGCACCAAGGCCGCCGAGCUGCUCCAUGUGCUUGUGGUGCUUCUCCUUCUUCUCGUAGUCGACCUCGCCGGAGCUCUCCUCCUCCUUGUGGUGGUGGAACAGGUGGUGGUGGUGCUUCUCCUCGGCCAUGACUUGCUUGUCAAAGAAAGAUUCAAAUAUAUGUUUCUCUGCAAAGUUAUCAGGGGGGAGAUGAUCGUCGGCUUCUUGGAU
Molecule: long non-coding RNA, 687 nt
Filed under: Setaria viridis
Lineage: Eukaryota; Viridiplantae; Streptophyta; Magnoliopsida; Poales; Poaceae
Description: long non-coding RNA (SVIR_LNC008308)
Source: RNAcentral